UAGGCACAGAUGUGAAGUGUAGGUGU
RNAcentral lists this non-coding RNA (26 nucleotides) under Homo sapiens (human). Lineage: Eukaryota; Metazoa; Chordata; Mammalia; Primates; Hominidae. The record is from RNAcentral.